UCCAGUUGAGAAAACACCACUAUAACUAGCUCAUGGCCCUCAUUUCACUAAAGAGAAGAGAAUCAAUAAGAGUAUAUAUACAUGACUAAUAUUCACAAGAAAUACAUUCCUUUUGUCAAAAAUGAUAUUAUUUCUACAAAAGUAGCAGCUCCAACUAGAACUGAAACCCUCUACUACGAGGCAACCCUCUCUACCAAUUACCAUGCAUAUAAGAACUCUCUGCGGGUGGGUAUAAGUUGGACGCCACCGGGACUAUAUGCCACAUAACUCUUGUAAAAUGACAAUAGAAGAAAGUGCUUAUUGACUAAUCAUGAUUAUAAACGCUAUAGUUUGAGCUCCCUAGCUAGUUCGAUCUAGGGAGGUUAUCCUUAGUAAAUAUGACUUCCUAAGCAUAUACCAAAGGAAGAUCCUCACUUUCAAUACAAUUUUUAGUUUCAAAUGUUGUCUAUUUUUCUUCGUAAAUGCUUUUGAUCUGACAUCAGAUAUCAAGCGAUUUAGAGCGACCGCUCUCAGGUAUGUCAUAUCUUGUGCACGAAUAUGAAAACGUUCACCCACACCACCCUUCCAAGGGAAUGAUUGACUUUUUCCCUAUUUUUAUUCAUUUUUAAAUCCUGAACAAGUAGUUAUAUAAAGCAGGACAAAUUCUACUUCUUAGGCUUUUGUAUAUGGCAACCAUGUCGGUUAUAGCAUGGUAAAUUCUGCGUUUUAUAAAUUUUUACACAUUGCCAGUGCUAUAGCAUGGCAAAUUAUUUGCUUUUUAGUUUUUUAGAGAUGGAAAUUAUAUUUGUUAUAACAUGAAAAACACUUUUUUUCUUUCAAAAACAUGACAUGGGAACUUUUGAUAGUGGACCAUGACAAUUCUAUAGCAGCAACAUGGCAAUUCUUUAUACUGUAGCAUGCAAAUCUCUAUCUUGUAGCAUGGAAAUUCUCUAUACUGUAGGAGGACAAAUUGCUAUCUUGUAGCAUGGCAAUUGUCCCAUUUUCCCACACCAUGACAAUCCUGUUCUGACAAUAUAACAAUUAAUGAAUAGGUAGCACGACAAUCCUUCCAUGCAUGGCAACAUGGCAUUUUUUCUGCUGAUAACAUUGCCAUAGCAUGGCAAUUUCUGUGACAAAGAGGGUGUUGUGGAGGAGGGGAAAGGGGUUAAUGGUGGCGUUCACAUGGAGCGGUUUUCUGAGGACAAAAUGAUUUGUUUCCUCUCGAGAUCCACCCACAGCACAGACUCGCUCGAUCGGGUUACCCUCCUGAGGGGACGUCAGCUAGCUACCGGCGUCCUUUUUUCCCUAUGUGUACCAAACUGCAUUAUAUCACAUAGAUUGAUUUAACUAAAUUUUGUCCAUUUGGUGCAAACUCAACCUAAUGGAGUCUUAUUCAUCGCCCCUUUAUUGGAUAUUAGCGACCCAUGUACAAAGAUUGUUCCAUGCCACAAAGUUUGUACAUUAAGACAUGAUGGAUGAUAUCACCUCAACGAGGUGGUAUGUUUGUCCCUCACAAUAUGUAAAGAUGAGGGUAUUGACCAAUGGAGG
Molecule: long non-coding RNA, 1527 nt
Filed under: Hordeum vulgare
Lineage: Eukaryota; Viridiplantae; Streptophyta; Magnoliopsida; Poales; Poaceae
Description: long non-coding RNA (HVUL_LNC011015)
Source: RNAcentral